RNAcentral lists this unclassified non-coding RNA (336 nucleotides) under soil metagenome. Its description in RNAcentral is "partial contains 5.8S ribosomal RNA, internal transcribed spacer 2, and large subunit ribosomal RNA". The stretch from base 1 to 120 matches the Rfam family "5.8S ribosomal RNA", at positions 35 to 154 of the family's 154-position model. The record is from RNAcentral.
GAUGAAGAACGUAGCGAAAUGCGAUAAGUAAUGUGAAUUGCAGAAUUCAGUGAAUCAUCGAAUCUUUGAACGCACAUUGCGCCCGCCAGUAUUCUGGCGGGCAUGCCUGUUCGAGCGUCAUUUCAACCAUCAAGCCCCCGGCUUGUGUUGGGGACCUGCGGCUGCCGCAGGCCCUGAAAACCAGUGGCGGGCUCGCUGUCACACCGAGCGUAGUAGAUUUUAUCUCGCUCUGGGCGUGCUGCGGGUUCCGGCCGUUAAACCACCCUUUUAGCCCAAGGUUGACCUCGGAUCAGGUAGGAAGACCCGCUGAACUUAAGCAUAUCAAUAAGCGGAGGA